Molecule: ribosomal RNA, 1548 nt
Filed under: Triticum aestivum (bread wheat)
Lineage: Eukaryota; Viridiplantae; Streptophyta; Magnoliopsida; Poales; Poaceae
Description: partial small subunit ribosomal RNA
Source: RNAcentral
AUGUCUGGUUGUACAGCAAUCUUGCGUCGGUCGUCUCAGAAUCUUAUGGAGUUAUCGAUUGGGUCCAAAUCUCCUGGCGCUUCUUUGAGGGGGUUCAACAGCUGUGCCAGGGGCAAGGUAAAACCAGGCAAUUCAAUUAUUGGGCAGAUGAAAGCAAUGGAUCGUUUUCCUCCAGCCAAUGGUGUGUCAAGGGCUAUGAUGCCCCUUUCUGCUUAUAUGGGCACUAAUUGGUUGAAUACUUCAAGGCCCAGUUUUAAUGCAUUGCCAGGACCGUUAGGUGUUUCCAGCAUCCGCCGUGCAUACUCAUCAGACACUGGAAUUAAGCCUGAAGUCCCAAUUGUUCCUCCCACUGAAACUGCUGAGGUUGGUACUGGAGGAACCACUUGGAUGGACAUUUUUGAAAAUGCUCGCAACUCCACCAUUGAUGCUACGACUGAUGCAGGCAAGAAAGUGAAGGAGAUGACUGAUGCAGUCACACCCCAUGUUCAAAGUUUUCUUGAGGCAAAUCCAGAUCUAGAAAAGGUAGUUGUUCCACUUGGAGGAACAUUAUGUGGUACCCUUUUGGCCUGGUUUGUCAUGCCUAUCGUCUUCAAGAGGCUUCAUAAGUAUGGUUCACAGAACCCGAUAUCAGCACUUUUGGGGAACUCAGUCAACACCAAUGCUUCAUAUAGCACCAGCCUUUGGAGUGCAUUGGAGGAUCCUGCAAAAUACUUGAUCACAUUUAUGGCAUUUUCAGAGAUGGCUGCAGUGAUCGCACCAAGUGUAUCACCUUAUUUUCCACAAGCUUUGAGGGGUGCAUUUGUAUUGUCAGUUGUCUGGUUUCUUCAUAGGUGGAAAGCAAACUUUAUCACUAAAGCUAUGGCCAACCAAACUGCCUUAGUUACUGAUAGAGCAAGGUUAUCAGCUUUUAACCAAGUCUCCUCAUUGGGACUGAUUGCACUUGGUAUAAUGGGUCUUGCUGAGGCUUGUGGUGUAGCUGUUCAAUCAAUAUUAACUGUUGGUGGUGUGGGAGGUGUUGCUACGGCUUUUGCUGCUAGAGAUGUCUUGGGCAACGUGUUGAAUGGGUUCUCCUUACAAUUUUCUAGGCCAUUCUCAGUUGGAGAAUACAUAAAGGCUGGGUCAAUAGAAGGCACGGUACUCGAAAUAGGACUUACUUCAACUUUGAUGAUGAGUCCAGAAAAGCUUCCUUUCACAGUACCCAACUCUUUGUUCUCAAGUCAGAUCAUAGUGAAUAGAUCACGAGCUCAGUGGCGAGUAAGUGUGACCAAGAUUCCUAUAAGACUUGAGGAUAUUGAGAAGGUUCCUGCUGUAGCAGAGGAGAUCAAGGCUAUGUUAAGGUCCAACCCAAAAGUUAUCUUGGAAACAGAUGCUCCUUACUGCUACCUGUCAAGAUUGGAAAGUUCAUAUGGAGAGCUUGUCAUAGGGUGCAUCCUCCAAAAAAUGAGAAAGGACGAGUUGAUAUAUGCAGAACAGGACAUUCUUCUAGGAGCUGCCAGGAUUAUCAAGUCACAUGGCGUUGAAUUUGGAAGCACCACGCAGUGCUGCUGA